Molecule: non-coding RNA, 22 nt
Filed under: Rattus norvegicus (Norway rat)
Lineage: Eukaryota; Metazoa; Chordata; Mammalia; Rodentia; Muridae
Source: RNAcentral
GUUUGAACCAUGAUAGGACCUU